This 379-nucleotide ribosomal RNA is filed under the name Morphna maculata. RNAcentral's name for it is "partial 16S ribosomal RNA". The record is from RNAcentral. Lineage: Eukaryota; Metazoa; Arthropoda; Insecta; Blattodea; Blaberidae.
CUCUUCUUGGUAAAAUAGGAGGUAUGGUCUGCCCAAUGAUGAAUUAAAUGGCCGCGGUAUUUUGACCGUGCAAAGGUAGCAUAAUCAUUAGUCUUUUAAUUGGAGGCUGGAAUGAACGGCUGGACGAAAUAAUAACUAUCUUAAUUUUAUUAAUUUUGAAUUUAAUUUUUAAGUUAAAAAGCUUAAAUUUUUUUUUGGGACGAGAAGACCCUAUAGAGUUUAUAUAUUUAAAUUAGUCGAUUAGGUUUGUUAAUUUAUAGAUAAUAAAAAGUAUUUUGUUGGGGUGAUAAAAAGAUAAACGUAACUCUUUUUAUAAUUUAUAUAUAUAUAAAUAAUUUAUGAAUUGAUCCACGACUGGUGAUUGAAAGACUAAAUUACC